RNAcentral lists this ribosomal RNA (253 nucleotides) under uncultured microorganism. Its description in RNAcentral is "partial 16S ribosomal RNA". It matches the Rfam family "Bacterial small subunit ribosomal RNA", at positions 524 to 776 of the family's 1533-position model. The record is from RNAcentral.
UACGUAGGGUGCGAGCGUUAUUCGGAAUCACUGGGCGUAAAGGGCGCGUAGGCGGCCCGUUAAGACAGGUGUGAAAUCCCUGGGCUCAACCUAGGAAUUGCGCUUGUGACUGGCGGGCUCGAGUACGGUAGAGGGGGGUGGAAUUCCUGGUGUAGCAGUGAAAUGCGUAGAGAUCAGGAGGAACACCGAUGGCGAAGGCAGCCCCCUGGGCCUGUACUGACGCUCAUGCACGAAAGCGUGGGGAGCAAACAGG